AGAGUUUGAUCCUGGCUCAGGAUGAACGCUAGCUGGAGGCUUAAUACAUGCAAGUCGAGCGGGAUUCACCAGCAAUGGUGAUGAGAGCGGCGCACGGGUGAGUAACGCGUACACGACCUACCUCUAACAGGGGGAUAGCCCUGGGAAACUGGGAUUAAUACCGCAUAUAAUUUUGAUUUUAAAAGUUCAAAAUGAAAGUUCAGGCGGUUAGAGAUGGGUGUGCGUCUGAUUAGCUAGUUGGUAAGGUAACGGCUUACCAAGGCGAUGAUCAGUAGGGGGCGUGAGAGCGUGGACCCCCACACGGGUACUGAGACACGGACCCGACUCCUACGGGAGGCAGCAGUAAGGAAUAUUGGUCAAUGGGCGAAAGCCUGAACCAGCCAUCCAGCGUGCAGGAAGAAGGCCCUAUGGGUUGUAAACUGCUUUUGUCAGGGAAGAAACCUUUGGAUUUACUCCGAAGCUGACGGUACCUGAAGAAUAAGCACCGGCUAACUCCGUGCCAGCAGCCGCGGUAAUACGGAGGGUGCGAGCGUUAUCCGGAAUUACUGGGUUUAAAGGGUGCGUAGGCGGCUUUGUAAGUCAGGAGUGAAAGUUUGCGGCUCAACCGUAAAAUUGCUUUUGAUACUGCAAGGCUAGAAUUAGGAUGAGGUCAGCGGAAUGUGGCAUGUAGCGGUGAAAUGCAUAGAUAUGCCAUAGAACA
RNAcentral lists this ribosomal RNA (700 nucleotides) under uncultured bacterium. RNAcentral's name for it is "bacterial SSU rRNA". It matches the Rfam family "Bacterial small subunit ribosomal RNA", at positions 8 to 708 of the family's 1533-position model. The record is from RNAcentral.